RNAcentral lists this ribosomal RNA (770 nucleotides) under Pterostichus pumilio. RNAcentral's name for it is "partial large subunit ribosomal RNA". The stretch from base 1 to 583 matches the Rfam family "Bacterial large subunit ribosomal RNA", at positions 1836 to 2925 of the family's 2925-position model. Lineage: Eukaryota; Metazoa; Arthropoda; Insecta; Coleoptera; Carabidae. The record is from RNAcentral.
UUGGAAUAUAUAUAAAGUCUAACCUGCCCACUGAAAUUUUUAAAUGGCCGCAGUAUUUUGACUGUGCAAAGGUAGCAUAAUCAUUAGUUUUUUAAUUAAAAGCUUGUAUGAAAGGUUGGACGAAGUAAAAUCUGUCUCUAUUUAAUUUAAAUUAGAAUUUAAUUUUUAAGUUAAAAAGCUUAAAUUUUUAUAAAAGACGAGAAGACCCUAUAGAACUUUAUAAUUUAUUUAAUAUAAUUAAUUAAGAUUUAUUUAAGUUUUAUUAUAUAUAAUUAUUUUAUUGGGGUAAUAGAAAGAUUAAAAAAAUUCUUUUUUUUUAUUAACAUUUAUUUAUGAUAAUAUUAUUAAUGAUCCAUUUUUAAUGAUUAUAAGAUUAAGUUACCUUAGGGAUAACAGCGUAAUUUUUUUAAAGAGUUCAUAUCGAUAAAAAAGUUUGCGACCUCGAUGUUGGAUUAAAGAUUAAUUUAGGUGUAGAAGUUUAAAUUUUUGGUCUGUUCGACCAUUAAAUCUUUACAUGAUCUGAGUUCAGACCGGUGUAAGCCAGGUCGGUUUCUAUCUUUAUUAAAUUUAAAUAUUUUAGUACGAAAGGACCAAAUAUUUGAUAUAUUAAUAUUUAUUUUUUGAAUAUUAUUAAUUAUUUUGGCAGAUUAGUGCAAUGAAUUUAGAAUUCAUAUAUGUAAUUAUUUUUACAAGUAAUACUUGUUUUAUAUAGAUUUAUUAUUUUCUUUAAUUUUUAUAUUAUUAUUGAUUAUUUGUGUUUUAGUUGGAGU